CUGGCAUGCUGCUAACCAGAACAAGUUUGAGAACCAAUGAAGGAAUGACAUGUAGUGUAGAUCCAAAGAAUCCAGAAUUAAUUCGUGUUGAAGGAUAGCAGUACAAUACUCCAUUCUUGGGUGAGAAAAGAAGAACAUCUCAGUCUCAGGUUUUCCGUUAUUUCACAAUUUCAAUUUCUUUAAUAUUUAUAUAUAUAAUUUUUCGGUUUCUUUUCACCUUAUAGUUAAAAAUAUUUACAUGAAAUGUGCUUCUUUUUUUUUAAAAUUAUCUUGUGAUAUUUACAUUGUGCUAUUUUAUUACUUCCAUUUGUUAGCCUACUUGCAAAAAAGAUGGUGAACAAAAGUCUAAUUUUUUGGUGACGAUCGCCUUCCUCUUCCAACGUCUUACAAACCAAUUGAUAAUCCACUAAAAUAAGAUAGCAGAAGACCUAGAUUUCGUUUAGAAAAGUUACGAGAGAUGGAGAGAUGGAAAGCUGGAAGAGAAAAUAUCAAUAACUAAAACAUAAUCAUAUAGAGGGUGAAGCAAAUCAAAAAUCGAUAAAUGUGAGUAAUAACAGAUCAAGUGAUAUACCUUCAGGUUUUCCUUUUCUGAUCUACAUGGGGUAGGUGCAAAGAAGCGAGAUGGAAAAUAUCAAAGGGUUGGUGCUUGUUGAGAAAACAACUCUAUGUCUAAAUUUGACAUAGCAUAUUACAAGUGAGAUUCUGUGGAAUUAUUGUGGACGGCAUGGGAGGAUUGAAGGCAUUAUGAUUCAUAGAAAAAGGGGAAGCAGAGCUAAUUACUUAUGGUUUGUAAAAUUUGAGAAAAAGACAAAUGCAUUCGAGGCACAAAAAUGGUUGUUUAGAAGAUGGAUUGUUAAUCGUAGAGUUUAUAUUGAGUUUGCAAGAAGGGAAAUGAGAUGUCAGAAAGAACUUCCAUUGCAUGUGAAGUAUAAAGUUGUAAAGCAUAACGAGAAAAUGAGGGUUCCUUCAAUGAAGAAACUUGCAGAUCUACCAAAUGAAGAGGUAAAAAAUUGUUAGAAUAGUUGCUGGAUUUUUGUUAGCAAGGAGAAACUAGCUCUAAUGGAUAUGAAAAUUUGUAUAUUAAAUUCAAAAAUGGCAUUAUGAAUAUUGUAAAGUGGGGGGUUAAUGGGUUGAUUGUAGUGAGUGCUAAUGAGGAGGAAAGUCUUAAAGUGGAGCAUGUAGGUUUGAGAAUUUUUUUGUUGAAGUGGAGAAUUUGGGCAUUGAGUUUGCGAAGAAGAUUGAUGUAGCAAGUCGUUGAUUCAAACACACAAAAGGAAGGUCAUUAACUAACAAAUUAUGCUUUCAUUUGGGGAUGAAAUAUACCGUCUUAAAGUCGAGUUAGAACAACAGGAAGGUGAAUAUUGAUUAAGUGGUGUUGGUAUGUGGUGUAGGGAGGAGACAAACAAACAGUGUUGAUUUUUCUGUCUAAUGGGCUUGAUCAUCUGACAAAGGGUAAUAGGUGUUCGAAUGCAGCUUUGUUAGCAAAUAGUAAUCAAAAUGAGGCUAGAUCUUUAUUUUGUAUUAUUGUGCUUGAUUGACCCUUAAUUGAUCUGAAUGGCCUGAAACUGAUUUGGUAAUUUAUUCAGCUUGUUUGUUUAGGUUAGAUAAAGGUUUGGAUGAGUCAAAAUGGUUCUGACAGAAUUAGCUAAAUUUGCUCAAUUUAUUCGGCCAGUUGGCCAAUUUAAUGAAAUAUUUACAUAAAUUCAUUUUCACAUUAAAAAAAUUACUUUGAUAUCUAAUUAGCGAUUACUCUAGUCUCUGGACUUAAUAAAGGAAUUAAGCUAAGUCGUUGUGCACCACCUGUCUCACCCCUCUUUUUUGCAUAUGUUUGCAAUAUUUACUUCCCAAAUGAUCUCUGUACUUGUCUCCGUAUGAAGGAAAUUUUCGAGGGAUAUUCUAAAGCCUCAGGAAUAUUAAUAAAUUUUCAAAAAUUAGGCCUUUUUGUUAGUCCAGCAGUUCUGGACACUCAUGCUACUCUCUUUCAGGAUAUUUUUGAUAUUGGCUCCAUACCGGUGUCUCAAAAAUAUAUUGGAGUGCCUUUUACUCUUACUUGCAACAAGAAGUAAGAUUUCUCAUUCUUCAAGGAUAAACUUGGGCAUAAACGUCAAACAUGGAAAUCAAAACUGUUAAAUGCCAGCUGGGCACUAUGUUCUUCUUAAAUCCACUCCGGCUACCAUACCUAUAUAUAUUCUUGUCUCUUGGUGCAUUUAUUUUACCCUCUACCUUGAUUCAUGAGCUUCACUGUAUUGUCAGAGCAUUUUGGUAGGGUCAUGAUCAAUUCCGCACACAUUGGAUUGCCUACGAUAAGAUUAGUCGUCUAAAAUUUGAGGGAGUUCUAGGCGUUCGGGAUUUUUCCUGUUUGAAUAUGGCCCUUCUUGCCAAACAUGUUUGGCCUUAGUUGGAAAGUCCUAGUUCUUUGCUGGCUUCUAUUCUUUUGCCCAAAAUUGAAUUUUCUCCAUUCUAAACUUAAACUUUCCGACUCUUGGGUAUCGAAAGGAUAAAAGAAUUUUUUUAGUUCAUCUCAUUAUACCAAAUAAAAGUUAAAAUGUUUUUCAAAUAAAAGCUAAAAAGUUGACUGAUUGAUUAGGACUUGAAUUUGCAUUUGUGUUUUAUUUUGAUUUAAAAUUUGUCGCCAUAUUAAUUUUUAUUUGAAUGCAAACAAAUUGGUAUGAACUAUGAAUUGAUUGCUAAUAUUGAUAAAGAAACAUAGAAAGAAUGAAUCCAUUAAGAUCACAAUUAAAAUGAAAUCAAUCUGUAACCAAAACAGAUCAGAAAUUAAUGUGGAGGCUGUGAUAUCACGAUGUAGAGUUGGAAUAAGAUAUUUUUGAGUUCCUUGCUCAUGAUGCGUUUGUUCAUAUUAGAUCUUCUCUUUCAAAUUUACGUUGCAAUGUGGUACUAUAUUUUUCAAGAAAAUAACUAUGUUUUACUAAAGUUACAAUGCCUUUUGAAAGAACUUUCUAAAUUAGGAGUAUAGUAAUUUUAGCAACUUCCGUUAUAUUUUUGGGAGAGGGGGAAUGAAAAUUGAACCACAGUAUUCUACUAUCUGCGGGGUAUGUUUUCUGAAGAAGAUUUAGCCAUAUACCAAUAAAAUAUUUAAUUAUUACAUCAGGCUUCUCUUUUUAAAAAUUUAGACGAGUUGGUAAGUUUUCUUUUAAAAAAAAUUAUAUCAAUUGGCGAUUGUUUUAUAAUGAUAAUAACAUUUUAAAAAUCACAAAAAGAGAAUAUUUUAUAAUGAUAAUAUAUAUAUAUAUAUAUAUAUAUAUAUUAAUUUAUCAUACUAAAAUAUUUUAGACUAAAAUUCAAUUUGCACCCCAAACUUUUUCUUGAAAAUUGAUUUGGACCCUAAAUUUUUUUUUCCGACUAAAUGCAUCAAAAACUUAAUCACAGACAAUUAAAUGCACACUUUGCUCGUUUUUCUGGCCAAAGCUUCACCGGAAGUUUGAUGACAUCAUAGAGUCAGGUGCAUUAUACUCAUAUCACCUCAAUUUUUGAAUGGUUAUUUUAUUUCCACAUGCUUGGAAGCUUGGGCAAAAAAGGGGAUUACCCCACUGACAUUUGCAGCGGCUGAGAAAGAAGAAAAGCUAGGGUUUCAAAAACUUAUCAAAAAAGCAUCGAUUACGAGGUAAAAUUAAGGUUUUUAUUGAGUUUUUGUUUUCUAGGGUUGGUGUGAAUCAAGCGUUGAUCUUACAUGGCUGCAUCACGUUCAAGAUUUGCUCCAGAACAACGGAUGUGUUUUUGUGAUGUUUCAACUCGAAUUUGUGUUUCCAAGAAGGAUGAAUCAAGAGGAAGAAGAUUUUAUGGCUGCCACAACUAUUGUUGUGAACUCAGUCUUCUCUCUCAUCUGUUUUGACUUUUUCCUAACUCAAUUUUUGAUAGGAAUUUGGGAGAGAUUGUGGCUAUUUUGAAUGGUUGAAAUUUCCUCUUUCUGAUAGAGAAAAACUCAAAGCUAAAGGACAAGGUUAAAAAUAUGAGAAGGGAAGCAUUUAAAUGGGAGAUGGAGGUUGGGCUUAAAGAAGCAAAGUCAAAACUAAUGUUGUGCAGUGUAUUAUCAUAGUUGGUCACUUAGUUGAAAUUUUGUCAUAUAUUUACAUUUCUAUGAUGUAAUUGUAGUUAAAUGAUGAUUAUAAUGGUUGAAAAUGUUUGAAAUAAAGAAAAUGAACAGAGCACCAUCAGACAGAUCGUAGAGUGAAACGUAGAGUGAAUUCUCAGAUCGUAAAAUGACUUAACUCUACGUUUCUACGAUCGUAGAGUGACUUAACUGUACAAUACUAGACUUCAGUGUAGAAACGUAGACUGAAUCCUCAGAAACGUAUAUUAAAUCCUCAGAUCGUAGAAUGACUUAACCCUACGUUCCUACGAUUGUAGAGUGAAUCCUCAUAUCGUCAUACUCUACAUUUCUAAACUGAAGUCAAGUAUCGUAAAGUUAAGUCACUCUACGUUGCCUUUUUAACCCUGUGGGAAAUUCUACAAAUGAGAUAUUUUCAAAAUAUUGUCAUUUUAUUCAUUUCAAACAGAUUACAACACAAUUGAUGAAUUACAUCAUAGCGAUGAAACUACAAUUCAUCCAUUACAGUCCUCAUUUAACUACAAUUACAUCAUAACAAUGCAAAUACAUGACAAUUCUUCUUCAUUUAACUACUUUGAGUUUUUCAACCUCUGCUUUCUUUAUGCCCAAUCAUCUUUUGUCUCCAAUCUCCCAAUUAAUCCUGGAAUCACUGCUCUUGCACGGUCAUAGAAUCGGGGAUCGAUCUAUUCGAAGAAGUUACAUCCACUCCUAACACCUCUUUCUUCCUACAAAACGAUUUAUAGUGUCAAUUGCAAAACAUAUUUACCAUUUAAGACAAAAAAUCUAGAAGAAUACCCUCUAAUCAAUGCAACCAAAUAAUCUUCUCCUUGUGGGUUUUCCAAGCACAUUUCAUCACCAACGACUUCUUACAAUAGCAGAAUCGAUCCAUGCACUUUUCCUUUCGAUCACAACCUUUCAAUUUGUUUGAAAAUCGAUUACAUUCCUUCAAUUUGGUAAAAAAUUGGACCAAGUUCUUCAAUAUGGAGGGUAAAUCGAUUUUUAGGGCUUCAUAUAAGAUGCAAAUUUGUUUUAAUGGCGGGAAGAGUGAUAUUUUACCUAAAUACCUUCAUAGCUCACACACUUUAAGCUUUCCGGUGAAGAUUUGGCCAAAAAACGAGGAGUGUGCACUUAAUUGUCUGGAAUUAAGUUGAGGAUGCAUUUAAUAAAAAAAAAGGGUGAAAAUCGAUGUUCGGAUAAAAUUUUGGUGUGCAAAUUGAAUUUUAGUCUAUAUUAGACUAAUUGCAUCAUUUUAAAAAUUUAAACCCCUCCACUCACCAAAUGCACCAAAACCAACCUAUUUGGAUUGAAGGAAUGAUAAGGACGAAAUUGAAUGAUUUUAAGGUAUUUUAAAUGUAUGUUUGAUUGUUGGUAGUGAUGAGUGUUAUCAUAUAAAAACAAAAUUAUUUAUUCUACUUUUUUCGUAUAUAAUAUAAAAAUAAAAGGAUUGAAUAAAUUUUUGUUUUAUCCAAAUAGACCGGUUUAUCCUCCAAAAAUGAUUUAUUUUUAUUUCAUUCUCCUUUUUCCAUUCCAAACGUAGUAAUAGGCUAAUAACACAAUUUUUUUCUCACGUGGCUCGCAGUCGAAGAUCAGAGAUCGGAUAUGGGGAGGGGAAGCCUUAUUCAGGGGGUUGCUUUCACUUUCAGCUCCAAAUACUUUAUCAGCAGGUAAAUCUCUCAAUUUCUGCUUAUUCAAUCCAGUUUUCAUUGUCCGUAAUACUCCAUUUCAUACAUCUACUGCUCCAAAAUUGACAAACCCUAACCCUAAUCCAAGCGUAGAAGCAGAGAUUCUCUGCAGCAAUUACUGCAGGAGAAAUACAAAUCUGGGUUUGAUAAUCUCGAUGAUGCUCUUCUUUUAUUCGAUCGUAUGCUUCAAAUGCGACCUCUCCUUUCUGUAAUUGAUUUCAACAAACUAUUAGCGGCUAUCGCAAAAAGGCAAAAAGCACUUUUUGGCCACUGUGGUUAUAGUGAUUUAACGAAAUAGCCACUGUGCUUUUAAAAUAUUCAAUUAGCCCACUGUACUUUUUAAAAAUGUUCAAUCAGGCCAUUCUGUCCAUUUUUUGUAACUGCCGUUAACAGAUCAGCAAGAGUUUCUUACGUGUCUUUUUUGAAAAUAAAAUAAAAUACGUGGCAUAUGCUUAAUUACAUAGUAUAUCCUUAUGUGGCAACAAAUUUUUUUUUUAAUGAAUUUUCUUUAUAAUUUUUUCUUCUCAAACAAAAAAAUAAAAUAAUAAAAUCAUUAUGUAGUAAAAAUAAUAAUUAAAAUAAUAAUAAAAUAAAAAUUUGUAUUAUUUGGAAUUAAUUUUUAAUAUUAUAAUAUUUAUAAUAUGUAUAUUUUAUUUUUAAAAUAAAAAUACUUUUAUGUUUUAAAAUACUUAUAAAAUUUUUAAAAAUAAAAAUAUUUUUAUGUUUUAUUUUCUUGUUUUUUCUUUAUCUUAAUAUUUAUAAUAUGUAUAAUAUUAAUAAAAAUUAAUAUUAUAAUAUUUAUAAUAUGUAUGUUUUAUUUUAAAAAUAAAAAUUCUUUUACGUUUUAAAUUUUUUAAAAAUAAAAUUAUUUUUAUGUUUUGUUUUCUUUCUUUUUCUUUACCUAAAUAUUUAUAAUAUGUAUAAUAUUUUUCUUUCUUUUUCUUUUCAUUUUAUCUCUUCUAAAUAAUACAAAUAAUAUAUCAAAAUUUUUGUAUCAAUGAGAUCUAUUAGUCUAUUACAACAUUAUAUUAAUUUCUACAAAAAUAAUAAAAAAAAUUAUUCAUUACGUGACAAAAAAUAAUUAAAAUAAUAAUAAAAUUAAAAUAAAUAUUUUAAUUCAUUUUUUUAUUUGUAUAAAAAGUAAGUACACAAUUAUUCAGCUGUAGCUGUAGCUAUGGAACUUGGAAGCAUGAAGAAAUUUCUCUUGCAAGCAGUAGCUAUGGAUCCUUGACUCUAAUGAUGCUAUUCAGAAUGAUGACGGAGAUGAGACAUGGAUUAUUCCGUCAAAAUAUUCAUCUGGGAUUCAAUAUAUUGUUUGUAUGUCAGAAAGAAAACCCAUUUGAAUUUAGAGAGUGAAAGAGAAAUCCCAUUAGUAUUUCUUCUCUUCUGGUAGUUUUCAUCAGUCAUUAAUGGCAGCUUCGAAGAUAUUGAAGGAGGAGAGAAUCGGAGGAGAGAUAGUGACGAUGAUUUUGAUGAGGAGAGAAUGGAUUUGGGGAUUUGAAUGAGGGAUUUGGUAUUUGGGGGAUUUGAAUGAGAUAUUUUGAUUAUUUGUAUUAUUUAGAAUUAAAAUUGAUUAUUUGUAUUAUUUAGAAUUAAAAUAAUUAAAAGAAAGGAAAAGAGAUAAAAGAAAAGAAAAAAUUAUAAAAAAUGGCUGACUGGCUUGCCACAUCAGAAAAUAAUAAAUUUUUGAUUUUUUUUUCAAUGCCACGUGUAAAUAUUUAACGUCCGUCCAAGAAAUUGGACGGAAUGGCUUGAUUGUACAUUUUUAAAAACUACAGUGGGCUAAUUGAAUAUUUUAAAAGCACAGUGGCUAUUUCGUUAAAUCACUAUAACCACAGUGGCCAAAAAGUGCUUUUUGCCAUCGCAAAAAUGAAACACUACUCCGUUGUUGUCUCUCUGUUCAGAGAUAUUUGUGCUUUAACAAAUCCGGCAGUUCCGAUAAAUGUUGUUACCAUAAAUACCCUUAUAAACUGUUGUUGUCACUGUAAUCGAGUCGAUUACGGGUUUUCUCUAUUGGGUUUUAUCUUCAAACGUGGUUUCGUGCCAAGGGUGUUCACCUACACCACCAUGAUAAGGGGGCUUCUUUCAUCAAAUAAGUUUUUGGAGGCUGAGGAAUUGUUCAAGAAGUUGACAAGGACAAGAGAAAUUGAACCUGAUGCAAUUAUGUAUGGGACUAUUAUAAAUGAGCUUUGCAAAAUAGGCAACACUUCCAUGGCCAAUAGGUUGCUCAAAAUAAUGGAAAAAGGAAGUUGUGAACCAUAUACUGUAGUUUAUAGCACCAUCAUUGAUAGUUUGUGUAAGGACAAACUAGUAGAUGAUCCUUUGGAUCUUUUCUCUAAAAUGAUUGGUAAAGAUAUAUCGUCAAAUGUUUACAGCUAUAGUUCAUUAAUUCAAGGCCUAUGCAACUUUGGUCGAUUGACAGAGACUGAACGAAUGUUAAGAGAGAUGGCCAACAUGAAAAUCUCUCCAAAUAUGCAUACAUUCAAUAUACUGGUGGAUACGCUUUGCAAGCAAGGUAAUGUAAAAGAAGCAGAGCAUGUGGUCGGACAAAUGAUUCAAAGAGACGAGAAUCCUAAUGUAGACAAUGCGCUCAUGGAUGGGUAUUGUUUGCGAGGCGAAAUGGAUGUAGCAUUGGCAGUGUUGAAUAUCAUGAUGAAUGAGGGGAUAGUUCCCGAUACUCAUAGCUAUAACAUUUUGAUAAAUGGAUAUUGCAAGAAACCGAGAGUAGAAAAAGCUGUGGAUCUCUUUCGAAAAAUGCCACGUGAAGGUUUGAAACAUACAGUUGAAACUUACAACACUAUUUUGCAUGGGUUAUUUUAGAUGGGUAGAUAUGUUGAUGCACGGAAUUUUUUAAUGAGAUGCAAGCUCAAGGCCAUAGACCAGAUAUUUUUACUGGCAACAUCUUGUUAGAUGGUCUUUGCAAGAACGAGUAUGUGGAUGAAGCAUUGUCCUUGUCUCAUGUGAUGGAAUGUAAUGGUUUAAUUCCAAAUAUUGUUACUUAUAAUGUCCUCAUUGAUGGAUUGUGCAAAGAUAAAAAGCUUGAUAAGGCAAGAAAUCUUUUUGAUAGCCUUCCUUCUAAAGGGUUGCAACCAGAUAUUAAGACAUACAGAAUGAUGAUCCCUGGACUUUGUCAAGAAGGACUACUGGAGGAAGCAAAUGAACUACUUGUGGAAAUGGAAGCUAAUGAGUGUUUGCCAGAUGGUGCCACUUACAACCGUGGAUGUUUUUGAAAUAUGAAGUAUAAUGACGCAAUUUUACUAAUAGAAAAAAUGGUUGACAAGGGCUGCUCUGCAGAUGCAUCUACCUCCUCCAUGGUCCUGGAUCUACUCUCAAAGAAAGAACACGAUCCGACUUUAUUUGCUAUGCGUCAGAAGUUCUUUCCUUCAUGUAGAUGACUUGCAUCAUUAGGUCGUUUGAUUACGGUGCAAACUCCAGGCCAUAUGUCAGUUUUAAAUGUUUUCCAUUCUCUUCUUUGUAAGUAAAGCUUCUAGACUGGACAGUCAAAUAAGAGAUUCUAGAUUUUCCUUGUUGGUACUCUGUGUAUAUAUGGAAAGGUAUAUAAUGUGCUGUCAUGGUAUUGUGUACUGGACCAUGGUAUUCUUUUCUUUUUGCUCAAAAGUGCAUACCUGGAUAUUGCAAGAAGCUCUCGUUGUCCUGCAUCAACUUUUUUCCAUUUCCUCUUACUCUUUUUGGAGUUUGUUUACUAUUUUUGCGAGGUUUAUGCAUUAUCUAUAUCAUGUGUGUGCGUGAUUUGCAGCCUUAUUGUGAUGCUAUCUUAUUAUUUAACAUUGUGCUAUCUUAUUAUUCGUACCUAUUUACCUGCUACUGAAUACUAACAUUGUGACAAAAACACAAUUUCUUAAGAUCAAAAAGUAAACUACUAAGUUGCGGACACAUUUUGGGCUCAAAACAUGAAACGUGAUUAUUCUUAUAAUUUGGUAAAUUUGUUUGUGCUCUUUGGUAGAUUCAGGGCCUGAGGUUUGCAAUUAACAGCCUUGGUAAAGAGAUCCCCAUGAUGAAUAAAAGGUUGUUGCAAUAGACCUUUCGAUAAAUAGAUAUUGCAAGAAGCUGAAAGUAGACAAAGUUAUGCAUCUCUAUCGACAAGUGCCUGAUGUGUUAAAAAUAUGUACUGCAAGUGCACAAUGUCUAAUUGAAGAUCUGGCAAGUACAGGUCGAACCCACAGAGACUAGAUUAAUUCUUUAAUAUAUCCUUAAUUAAUAUUUUAGGCAAAUUAGAAACAAAAAUGGUGGAGAAGAUUUUUUAACUAAAUUAUGCAAACUAUUAAUUAAUAAUGAAAACUAUUAAUGAGAAAAGAUAUCUAGGAAUUAGAAUCCACCAAACAUUAACAUAAUAAAUAAUUUCUUAUUUCCUAAAUCAAUUCCUAAAUUAUUUCCCCUUCCCUUUAAAAAUAAUGAUUCAUAUAAUUAAUAUGGGCAAGCAUAAGUUAUGAAAAAUUCACAGAUUAACUAUAACUUAUCAAAACCUCGCAAUCAAUAUAAAAAUCAUAUGCAAUUUAUGCGGAGGAAAAUAUGAAGGCGAAAAUAAUUAGGCAUUAAUUUUGGAACGGAAAGAAAAUAUUAUUAUGAAAUACUUAGUUUCAUCAUAAUCCUAGGUAUUAGAAAUUUAGCUAGCCAUGGAAUUAAAAACAAAAACAAAUAAUAUUAGUACUACUAUUCGCAUGAAAUAAGAACAAUAAUUAAAAAGAGAAUUUCUAUUAUAUAAAUAAAAGAAAGUGACAAAUACUCCCUGACAGUAGUACCACAACUGAUUGGAAUAAGAGAAAGGACAAACUCUAAAUAUCUUACUCCUUCCUACACUAGUGAAAAACUGAGAAAAAGAAAAUAACAAGUGGUGCCUUUCUCUCUAAAACAAGAGGCCUAUUUAUAGGGAAAAUAACUUUGAACCCUAAUUUAGAUUCAUUGAACUUGGACACUUUGAUUCCCUUUCCAUGUAGGAUUCAACUUCCUAGUAGCAAUCAACUUCUCAAAAAGAUCUUCUAGAUAGACUUUUCUUUCUCUUGUUGGAUUUGACUUGCACACUAAGAUUGUUCCACCUCUUUCCUUCUCCUUGUAGGAUUCUUCUUGGACAUUCCUUAUAUGAAUAAGAGCAUUAAAUAUCGCUUGAUCACCAAGAUUUUGACUUUAUUGCAACAAACAUUAAAUCCUACAAAAUAAAAUAAAACAUAUUAAUUUAAUAAACUAAUAUAAUUAAAAGGACAAAAUUAGGGAUAAUUAAAUGUAUGAAUUACGUGUCUAUCAAAUACCCCCAUACCUAGCUUUUGCUCGUCCUCGAGUAAAAUAAAAAUAAAAUAAAACAAAAAUUACACUACCUCAUUUUCGUAGGAAACACAAUUGCACUUAGCAUGUGCAACAAGCCUUUAAACUCCAAGGUUACCCCAAGUGGACGAGUUGUGUCUCGUGAGGGUUUGCAAUGAAUAUACCCACAAAAUUUAAAAAUAUUUUUGGGUUUAACAAAUUAUGAAAUUGAAAGAAAACUUUUAAAUAUCUAUGGGCAUUAUACAUAAGCAAGAUUAAAUUCAAAAUCACACUUUUAUCUUAUCAAAAAUACUCGAUCUUCAUUUUAGACACCAUCCUUCAUUAAAUCAAUUCCAUGUGAUGCAUGCAUGUGUAUGUGAUGUAACUCUUAGUAGGAUUUUUACCAUGAAAAUCAAGCAAGCUCAUUUUUCUUUGUCUUUCUUUUUUUUCCUUCCUUUUCUCCAUUUCUUUUCAAUUUUGAUUCUUGAUUUGUGUAAUGUCUCAUUUUCUCAAGCUUUUCAGAAUUACCCAUGUAGAGCGAGCGUUGGACCAAUGACUCCCAAACCAGAUGGCUUUAGGGCACUAGGUGUAGAGACUUCCCUAAGGAUUUACUAACUCGAGUAACAAAGGCCACAAAAUUAGACUAGUCAAACUGCUUUUAUCCAUCACACUUUUCAGCGUGAAUAUCGAUGCUUCCCGAGGCUUGGAUAUCCAGUUAUUUCGUUUAAUGGACAUUGAAGCAGUUAUUUAUUCCUUCCUUUUUUUUCUACUUUUCUCAACUUCAUUUUUUUUCUUUUUAUUCUUUUUAUUCUUUCUUCUUUUUUUCUUCUUUUUUUUUUCUUUUUGAAAUUACUCGAAUCAUGGUUUAUACCCCACAACUAAGAAUUAGUGCAAACGUGAAGUGCAAAAAUGCUUGUGAAAUCAAUUUUAAAUUCAGAUGGUGUUUUGAACUAAGAUUUCGUAUCUUAUCAAAAAAUCAAGAGUUCUAAAUCUUUCAAUCUCACUCAUGCGUUUUGCUCCACAAACACUUAUUAGAAUUAAUUCAAUUCAAAAAAAGUCGAACAAAAUUUUUUAAUUUUUUAAUUUUUUUUUUGUGUUUUUAUUUUGUAAAAAGAAAAAAAAAUAUAAUACAAACAAACUCACCCAUACCUAAAUCAUGCAUUGUCCUCAAUGUAUGCAAAUGAAUAAAAGAGAACAAAGAUAUGAAAGAAUUAUACCUUGGACGAUGAGGCAGAAACUAGAUGACAAUAUUAUACAAAGAAGAAUAUACGUACAAACUAACAAAAACAAGUGCAUUACCAAUCACGCUGAAUCAGGUGGGUCAACAAGGUAUACCACCUCCUCCGGUUCGGUCGGCAUUUCUAAAAAGGGUUUGAGUCGUUGACCAUUCACUUUGAAAAUUUCUCCACUCUUUGGAUUUUCAAUAUCUACUGCCCCAUGAGAGUAAACUAUCUUCACUACAAAAGGUCCAUCCCAUCUAGAACGCAAUUUGCCAGGAAAUAAAUGUAGCCUAGAAUUAUACAAGAGAACUUUUUGACCAGGUGAAAAUGAUUUUCUCAAAAUUGAUUUAUCAUGAAACACUUUUGUUCUUUCCUUGUAAAUUUUAGCAUUUUCAUAUGCAUCAUUCUUAAUCUCAUCUAACUCAGCUAAUUGCAAUUGUCUAUGACUCCCACCAGUGGACAUAUCAAAAUUCAACUGUUUUAUGGCCCAUAAAGCACGAUGUUCAAGUUCAACAGGUAAGUGACAAGUUUUCCCAAACACAAACCUAUACGGUGACAUUCCUAAAUUAGUCUUAAAGGCAGUACGGUAAGCCCACAAUGCAUCUGACAAUUUUAGAGACCAAUCUUUUCUAUUAGAACUCACCGUUUUUUCCAAGAUUUGUUUUAUUUGCCUAUUUGAGACUUCUACUUGACCACUUGUUUGAGGGUGAUAUGAUGUUGCAAGCUUGUGGGUGAUGGAAUACUUUUUUAGCAAGGAUGAAAAAGGCUGAUUGCGAAAAUGUUUGCCUUGAUCACUGAUUAUGGCCCUAGGGGUACCAAAGCGAGAGAAAAUAUUCUCUUUCAAAAAUUUGACAACAACCUUGUUGUCAUUGGUCUUGGUUGGUAUAGCUUCUACCCACUUAGACAUGUAAUCCACCGCAAGUAAAAUGUACAGAUUUCCAAAAGAAUUUGGAAAUGGGCCCAUGAAAUCGAUUCCCCACACAUCAAACAAUUCAAUGACCAGAAUAGGUUGCAUUGGCAUCAUAUUCCUCCUAGUGAUCCUCCCUAAUUGUUGACACCUAUUGCAAUUGGCACAAAAUGAUGUGGCAUCCUUGAAUAGACUAGGCCAAUAGAAACCACAUUGGAGGACUUUGGCGGCCGUCUUUUUGCCUCCAAAAUGUCCUCCACAAGCUUGGUCAUGACAAAAUGACAGAACACUUCUAAACUCGUGGUCGGGUACACACCUCCUAAUGAUUUGAUCAGGACAAUAUUUGAACAAAUAGGGGUCAUCCCAAUAAAAGUGUUUGACUUGUGAAAGAAACUUGGAUCGUUCUUGUUUUGACCAAUGGGAAGGGAUCUCAUUAGUCACUAGGUAAUUCACAAUAUCAGCAAACCAAGGUGUAGCAGAUAUAGAGAAAAGCUGCUCAUCUGGGAAAGAUUCAUUUAAGGGUAGGUCAGAGUUGGACUCCACUACUAAAUGUGACAAAUGAUCAGCUAUCACGUUUUCAGACCCUUUUUUGUCUCGUAUCUCUAGGUCAAAUUCUUGGAGCAAUAAGACCCAACGAAUUAAACGGGCUUUUGAAUCUUUUUUGGAAAGAUGUUUGAGAGCAGCAUGAUCAGUGUAAACAAUUAUUUUAGACCCAAUAAGAUAAGAUCGAAACUUUUCUAGGGCAAAAACUACAGCUAGAAGUUCUUUUUCAGUAAUUGAAUAGUUCAAUUGAGCAUCAUUCAAAGUCCUACUAGCAUAGUAUAUGACAUGGGGAAUCUUGUUGAUUCUUUGCCCUAGAACAGCACCAACUGCAUAAUCAGAUGCAUCACACAUUAACUCAAAUGGUUGUCUCCAAUCAGGUGAUUUGAUGAUAGGAGCUGAAGUUAACUCUUUUUUGAGUUGUUCAAAGGAUUGAAGACAUUUUUCAUUAAAUUCAAAUUUUGCAUCUUUACCUAGAAGAUUGGUCAAGGGUCUUGCUUUCUUACUAAAAUCUUUAAUAAAUCGCCUAUAAAAGCCUGCAUGUCCUAGGAAAGAACGAAUUUCUUUGACUGUCCUAGGUGGUGGAAGAUUGGCAAUGAGGUCAAUUUUGGCUUUAUCUACUUCAAUUCUCUCUUCAGAUAUGAUGUGACCAAGAACAAUUCCUUUUUUUACCAUGAAAUGACAUUUUUCCCAAUUUAGGAUUAAGUUUUUUUUCUUACAUCUCCUUAGAACUAAGUCAAGGUGGUGAAGGCACUCAUGAAAUGUAGACCCAAAUAUGGAAAAAUCAUCUAUGAAAAUUUCUAGGAAUUUCUCUACCAUGUCAGAAAAAAUGCUCAUCAUGCAUCUUUGAAAGGUGGCAUGGGCACUACAUAACCCAAAGGGUAGACGACGAUAUGCAAAGGUUCCAUAAGGACAAGUGAAUGUGGUCUUUUCUUGGUCUUCCGGGGCUAUGGGAAUUUGAAAGUAGCCCGAGUAACCAUCAAAGAAACAAUAAUAAGCAUGGCCAGCUAAUCUUUCUAGAAUUUGGUCUAUGAAGGGUAAAGGAAAAUGAUCCUUUCUUGUGGCAGCAUUGAGUUUUCUAUAGUCUAUGCAAACCCUCCAACCAGAUUGGACACGAGUGGGAACUAACUCAUUGGCUUCAUUUUGAACCACCGUUAAGCCAGACUUUUUAGGUACCACCUGAACAGGACUUACCCAUGAGCUAUCAGAAUUAGGAUAAAUGAUCCCGUUAUCAAGACACUUAAAGAAUUUCUUUCUUAAAAACCUCUUUUAGAACCGGGUUUAACCGCCUUUGUGGGUCUCUCACAGGUUUAGCAUCAUCUAUUAAGUGGAUCCUAUGUUGGACAAUGGUUGGACUGAUCCCCUUAAUAUCAGUUAUACUCCAUCCUAUGGUUUCCUUGUUUUCUCUCAAGAUAGUCAAUAACUCUUCCUCAUGUGUGUUUGUUAAAUCGGAAGCAAUGAUUACAGGAAGAGUUUUGGAGGGACCUAAAUAGGCAUAUUUAAGAUUAUCAGGCAGAGGUUUGAGUUCCAACUCUGGUGGACUCUUUUCAAGAGGUUCUGAAGAUUGCAAGAAUGACUCGGUCUCGGGUUCCCAAUAAGACAUUGAUGUUGAUGACGCUAUCAUUUCAUUAACCUCAUUUACAUAUUCUGUUUCAUCCCAAUUUUGACCAAAAUGAUUUAGACAAAAAUUAAAAAUUUCGUCUUCUACUGUAAGUUCAUUGUCGGACAUGUCCUGAAUCAUGUUCACCUCAACGGGUUGGUCAGAAAAAUCACAAGGUUGCUUUCCCACAUUAAACACAUUUAAAUUAAUUGUCAUGUUCCCAAAUGUCAAUUUCAUUAGUCCAUUUCUACAGUUGAUUAACGCAUUAGAAGUUGCUAGAAAUGGUCUACCUAAAAUUAGAGGAAUUUGACCCUUGGGAUUGACAACAGGCUGGGUUUCAAGGACAACAAAGUCAACAGGGAAGACAAAAUCACCAACCUUAAUAAGUACAUCUUCAACUAUUCCUUUUGGCACUUUAAUGGAACGGUCAGCUAGUUGGAGUGUGACACUUGUCUUUUUCAACUCUCCUAAGCCUAAGGUUUCGUACACAGAAAAUGGUAACAGGUUCACACUAGCUCCUAAAUCAAGCAAAGCUUUUUCAAUUAAUGUGUCACCUAUGAUGCAUGAAAUAGUAGGACAACCGGGGUCCUUAUAUUUCACAGGGACUUGACAUGACAAGAUAGAACUCACAUGGGCUGUUAGAAAAGCUUUCUUAGGAACAUGAGUGGUUCUUUUAUGUGUGCACAAAUCUUUUAGACAUUUAGCAUAUGAGGGAACUUGUUGAAUGACAUCUAAAAGAGGAAUGUUAAUUUUCACUUAUUUGAACACUUCUAGAAUUUUGUCCAGCUGGGCUGACUGCUUGUUUGAAAUAAGUCUUUGAGGGAAUGGGGCUUUUGGUUUGAAGACUUUUUCAGUUGACUCAUAAGGUGUGGUUGAAUCAUGUUUUGAAACAUGAUUAGUGGAUGGGCCUACUGACUCAAAGUUUGUGGGCUUUUCAGGUUGGGCUGACUUUGAAGAUGGAUUAUUAGAUUCAACAUUAAAAUUUUUCUCUUCAUUAUCAAUUCCAGCAUGAUUGUUAAAAUAAUUUUCAGACCCUAAAGAGAUUACAGAAUUCACAUGAUUGACUUGGUUGUUUUCAAGUGAAUUAACAUGAUAAGGUUUUUGAGUAGGGACUGAAAAUUUUAGAUUGGUCUCGGGUUGACUAGGAAGUUUACCCUUCUCUCUUUCACUAACUGCAGUGGCCAAUUGACUCAUUUGGAUCUCUAGGCGAGAAAUGGCUUGGUUAGUGCUUUGGUGAGAUUUUAUUAAAGUUUCCACACUCUUCUCUAAGGUGCCAAGUCUCCUCUCACUUUCAUUAGAAACACCAGGUGGAUAUUGAGGUGCUGGAUUUGAAUUUUGGUACGGACCAGGAUUUGACUUUUGGUAAGGUUGAAAAGAUUGAUUUAGAGACUGAUUGACCUGAUUUGAAGAAUUAUUUGGGUAGGGUCCUUGGUUCCAUGCAAAAUUAGGAUGAUUCCUCCAACCAGGAUUAUAAGUGGGUGCAAAUGGGUCAUUCCUAGGUCGUUGAAACAUUGCAUUGACUUGUUCAUAUUCUUCAAAUUGGGGCACGACUCUAGGACAUUCCUCAAUCACAUGGCUUGGUGAAUUACACUUUAGACACAAAGGUGUAGGUGUUGAGACUUGGUUCACGUGUGAUCCCCUAGUUUCUAAAUCUUCAAGUCUUUUAAGUACACCAGCCAACUUAACUUCUGUAGCAAUUGAAUUGUCAAUUGUAUGAACACCCCUAGAUGAACUAGGUUUAUCUGUCUCUCGGGUGGUUUCCCAUUGCAUGGUUUUUUCUGCUAAGUCUUCUAAAAACUCCCAAGCCUUUUCCUCAUCAUUAUUCAAAAAAUCCCCUUGACACAUUGACUCUAACAUUGUUUUAGUGGGAUAGUCUAAACCUUCGUAAGCAAUUUGACACAAUCUCCAUUUCUCAAUUCCGUGGUGUGGGCACUGGGAUAACAAAUUUUUAAAUCUAUCAAAAUAUUUCCAAAAGGACUCUUUUUCAAGUUGGCAAAAUUGAUGAAUUGCAGUCCUAAUUUUAGCAGUUUUAUGAUUUGGAAAAUAUUUUUUUAGAAAUGUAACGACAAAUCCCUCCCAGGUUGAUAUGGAAUUAUUUGGUAGGCUAUAUAACCACUUUUUAGCAUUAUCUUUUAAAGCAAAUGUUAUAAAUCUUAGCCUAAUUGAGUCAUCAGACAAUUGUUGAAUUUUCAUUAAGGCACAAACUUCCUCAAAUUCCUGAAUAAAUAAAUAUGCAUCUUCUAUCCCCGUAAACCUAGGUAACAUAUUUAUAAAAUGUGGCUUAAGUUCAAAAUUGUUACCAGUUACCGGUGGUAGACUAAUACAUGAAGGUUGGGCAGAGCGGGAAGGAUAACAUCGAUCCCUUAAAGAAACAGUUUGGGCGCCCUCCAUUUUUGUUAAAGUGAGAUCUUUUAAAGUGAAAUCCGAAAAAUCAAGUUUUCUCACUAAUCGGGAUGUUUCGUCCCUAAUCCACACUUUUUGCAUACACUAAUUAACAAAUAAUCAGAUAAGCACAAAAAAAAUAAAAAAUAAAAAAAAAAUUACUUCUAAGGUUAACCUAAAUAAAAUCUAGACAGCUCCUAACUGUUCCAAGUUACACCGCAAGGUCCACCAAAUUCGAAAUUAAUCAUACCACUAGCCAGGUAAGUGUAAGAAAGGCGGGAGUCUCUCCGUAGAUACGGUGACUAAUUAAAUAACCACACAAUCUUUAGGCGUAUACCUUUUGAACCACUUGCCUAGACACCAGUAGUUUGAUUAAUUUAAAAUUCAGACUCCUCUUGGAGUUUCUUGUCCUAAUUGAGCUCGAGAGUCCUAGGGGCCAACGUCUACUUGAUUUUAUUAGGUCAUGGUUAUGCAAAAUGCAAAUUGGGUUGUUUGUGGGCCAAGGAAGGGUGAUGAAAUCCCCACCUUAUCUUGUUACAGGUUGUGCCCUUAAUGUUAGAUUAAAGAUGAAAAUGCACAAAUAAAAAAAACUAUAAACAAAUAAAAUGUCCUAAAACUAUGUGAAUUACGAAAGAAGGAGAAAUUUUGACGUACCUCAAUCCUCCAGCAAUCACCACAGUUUAUAUUUGACAAAAAUAAAAUAAAAUAAAAUAAAUAAAACCUAACAGGAUGUGCUCUACGUGAGUGAAUGCAUGAAUGCGACAAAUAAAAAAAUAUAUAAAAAAACUAAACUACUAUUUUAUUUUAUUUUUAAAAAAAAUAUGGAGAUACGAAGUACCGAAGAAAGCACAGCAAAAAAAUCUUUAUCUUUUCGCUUCUUCGAUUCCGCUUCAAUAAUCCUGAAAAAAAAUGAGUUAAAACUAAUUCGAAUAAAUAAAAAUUAAGGAAUAAAUAAAAAUUAAGUCUAGUCCUCGGCAACGGCGCCAAAAACUUGAUGUGUUAAAAAUAUGUACUGCAAGUGCACAGUGUCUAAUUGAAGAUCUGGCAAGUACAGGUCGAACCCACAGAGACUAGAUUAAUUCUUUAAUAUAUGAAUUAAUAUUUUAGGCAAAUUAGAAACAAAAAUGGUGGAGAAGAUUUUUUAACUAAAUUAUGCAAACUAUUAAUUAAUAAUGAAAACUAUUAAUGAGAAAAGAUAUCUAGGAAUUAGAAUCCACCAAACAUUAACAUAAUAAAUAAUUUCAUAUUUCCUAAAUCAAUUCCUAAAUUAUUUCCCCUUCCCUUUAAAAAUAAUGAUUCAUAUAAUUAAUAUGGGCAAGCAUAAGUUAUGAAAAAUUCAAAGAUUAACUAUAACUUAUUAAAACCUCGCAAUCAAUAUAAAAAUCAUAUGCAAUUUAUGCGGAGGAAAAUAUGAAGGUGAGAAUAAUUAUGCAUUAAUUUUGGAACGGAAAGAAAAUAUUGUUAUGAAAUACUUAGCUUCAUCAUAAUCCUAGGUAUUAGAAAUUUAGCUAGCCAUGAAAUUAAAAAUAAAAACAAAUAAUAUUAGUACUACUAUUCGCAUGAAAUAAGAACAGUAAUUAAAAAGAGAAUUUUUAUUAUGUAAAUAAAAGAAAGAUACAAAUACUCCUUGACAGUAGUACCACACGUGAUUGAAAUAAGAGAAAGGACAAACUCUCAAUAUCUUACUCCCUCCUACACUAGUGAAAAACUGAGAAAAAGAAAAUAAAAAGUGGUGCCUUUCUCUCUAAAACAAGAGGCCUAUUUAUAGGGAAACUAACUUUGAACCCUAAUUUAGAUUCAUUGAACUUGGACACUUUGAUUCCCUUUCCAUGUAGGAUUCAACUUCCUAGUACAAUCAACUUCUCAAAAAGAUCUUCUAGAUAGACUUUUCUUUCUCUUGUUGGAUUUGACUUGCACACUAAGAUUAUUCCACCUCUUUCCUUCUCCUUGUAGGAUUCUUCUUGGACAUUCCUUAUAUGAAUAAGAGCAUUAAAUAUCGCUUGAUCACCAAAAUUUUGACUUUAUUGCAACAAACAUUAAAUCCUAUAAAAUAAAAUAAAACAUAUUAAUUUAAUAAACUAAUAUAAUUAAAAGGACAAAAUUAGGGAUAAUUAAAUGUAUGAAUUACGUCUAUCAGUGCCCCAUGAUGGUUUUAAAUGCAUAAUAGAAAUUUUCAACACUAUUUUACAGGUGCUAUUUCAGAUGGGUUGAAAUGUUGCAGCAGAUUUUUCUCGUAUAUUUUUUUAUUUAUGAGAUGCAAUCUCAAGGCCAUGGACCAGACCUUCGACAUGCAGUAUCUUGUUAGGUGGCCAUUGUAAGAAUCGGUGUUACUGAUGAAGCUCUGUCGUUAUUUCACAUGAUGGUAUGUAAAAGUUUCUGAUAUUAUUAUUAUCAGACUUCAUUGCUGGAUUGUGCAAUAAUAGAAAGCUUGAUUAGACAAUAAAACAUUUAGAUAACCUUCCUUCAAAAGGAUUUCAACCAGAUAUUAAGAUAUACACAAUGAUGAUCCGAAGAUUUUGUUAAGCAGGAUCAACUCUUGAUGCUAUGCGUCAGAAGUUCUUGCCAUUGGUAAGUGACUUGCAUCAUUAUGUCUUUUGAUGACGAUGCAAGUUCCAGGCUAUGUAUCUGAUCUAAAUGGUUUCCAUUAGUAACUCACGUUUUUACGUUGUAGUCAAAUGUGAAUAACGGUUUCUUGAUUUUGCUUUUGGGUAAUUCUGUGUUGAUUUAUGGAAAUGUAUAUCAUGUUUUGUCAAAGUAUUCCCCGCUGAACCUUCUCUUUUGUUAUGCUCGAAGGAUCAUACCUAGAUUCCUGAAAAAACCUCUUUUUGGCUCGUGUGAACCUUUUCCAGAUGCUUCGUACUCUUUUUUCGCGUGUUCGCUAUUUUUGCGAGCUUUUUCGUGUUGUCUAUAUCAUGUGUUGUGGCCUUGUUGUGGUCCUUAUUACACUAACGAAAGAACAAAUGGAUAUAUUUUUGGACAUCUUUUAAAGUAGACUACUUAAUUUUUUAUUUUGUUUUUUGUUUUUUUACAGCGUUUGAUUGAUCGGUGCUGGUGUGCUGCUAACCCGAACAAAUUUGAGAACCAAUGAAGGAAGGACAUGUAGUGGAGAUCCAAAGAAUCCAGAAUUAAUUCGUGUUGAAGGAUAGCAGUAGAAUAUUCCAUUCUUGGGUAUUUCACAAUUGCAAUUCCUUUAAUAUAUAUAAACUUUUGGUUUUUUUCACCUAAUAGUUAAGAAUAUUUACAUGAAUGUGUUUUUUUUUCUUUUUUUAAAUUAUCUUCUGAUUUUUACAUUGUGCUAUUUUAUUACUUCAAUUUAUUGGCCUACUUGCAAAAAAGAUGGUGAACAAAAGUCUAAUUUUUUGAUGACCACCACUUCAUCGUGAUCGCCUUCCUCUUCCAACCUCUUACAAACCAAUCGAUAAUCCACUAAGAUAAGAUAACAGAAGACCUAGAUUUCGUUUAGAAAAGUUAGGAGAAAUAGAAAGCUGGAAGAGAAAAUGUCAAUAACUAAAACACAAUCAUAUAGAGGGUGAAGCAAAUCAAAAAUCAAUAAAUGUGAGUAAUAGCAGAUCAAGUUAUAUACCUUCAGGUUUUCCUUUUAUGAUCUGCAUGGGGUAGGUGCAAAGAAGCGAGAUGGAAAAUAUCAGAGGGUCGGUGCUUGUUGAGAAAACAACUCUAUAUGUCUCAAUUUGACAUGACAUAUUAGAAGUGAGAUUCAUUGGAAUUAUUGUGAACGGCAUGGGAGGAUCGAAGGCAUUAUGAUUCAUAGAAAAAGGGGAAGCAGAGCUAAUUGCUUUUGGUUUGUAAAAUUUGAGAAAAAAGACAAAUGCAGUCGAAGCACAAAAAUGGUUGUUUAGAAGAUGUAUCGUUCAUCAUAGAGUUUAUAUCGAGUUUGCAAGAAGGGAAUUGAGAUGUCAGAAAGAACAUCCAUUGCAUUUGAAGUAUAAAGUUUUAAAGCAUAAGGAGAAAAUGAGGGUUCCUUCAAUGAAAAAACUUGCAGAUCGACCAAAUGAAGAGGUAAAAAAUUAUUAGAAUAGUUGUUGGUUUUUUGUUACCAAGGAGAAACUAGCUCUAAUGGAUUUGAAAAUUUGUAUAUUAAAUUCAAAAAAGUGAUUAUGAAUAUUGUAAAGUGGGGGGUUAAUGGGUUGAUUGUGGUGAGUGCUAAUGAGGAGGAAAGUCUUAAAGUGGAGCAUGUAGGUUUGAGAAUUUUUUUUGUUGAAGUGGAGAAUUUGGGCAUUGAGUUUGCGAAGAAGAUUGAUGUAGCAAGCCGUUGAUUCAAACACAUCGACGAACAAAUUAUGCUUUCAUUUAGGGAUCAAACAUACCGUCUUAAAGUCGAGUUAGAACAGGAAGGUGAAUAUUGAUCAAGUAGUGUUGGUAUGUGGUGUAGCCGUGUAGGGAGGAGGAAGAUAAUGGGUCAUUUUAAAAAGAUCAUAGACAAAUAAACUGUGAUGACUUUUUUUGUGUCUAACGGGCUUGAUCAUCUGACAAAGGGUAAUAGGUGUUCGAAUGCUGCUUUGAUAGCAAAUAGUAAUCAAAAUGAGGCUUGAUCUUUGUUUUGUAUUAUUCUGCUUGAUCGACUCUUAAUUGAUCUGAAUGGCCUGAAACUGAUUCGGUAAGUUAUUCAGCCUGUUUGUUUAGGUUAGAUCAGGGUUUGGAUGUGUCAAAAUGUUUCUGACCGAAUUAGCUAAAUUGGCCCAAUUUAUUCGGCCAGUUGGCCAAUUUAAUGAAAUAUUUACAUAAAUUCCUUUUCAAAUUAAAAAAAAUUACUUUGAUAUCUAAUUAGCGAUUACUCUCGUCUCCAGACUUAAUAAAGGAAUUAAGCUAAGUCGUUGUGCACCACCUGUUUCACACCUCUUUUUUGCAUAUGUUUGCAAUAUUUACUUCCCAAAUGAUCUCUGUACUCGUCUCCAUAUCAAGGAAAUUUUCCAGGGAUAUUCUAAAGCCUCAGGACUAUUAAUAAAUUUUCAAAAAUUAGGCCUUUUUGUUAGUCCAGCAGUUCUGGACACUCGUGCUACUCUCUUUCAGGAUAUUUUUGAUAUUGGCUCCAUACCGGUGUCUCAAAAAUAUAUUGGACUGCCUUUUACUCUUACUUGCAACAAGAAGUAAGAUUUCUUAUUCUUCAAGGAUAAACUUGAGCAUAAACGUCAAACAUGGAAAUCAAAACUGUUAACGCCACCUGAGCACAAUGUUCUUCUGAAAUCCACUCCGGCUACCAUACCUAUUUAUACUCUCGGUGCAUUUCUUUUAUCCUCUACCUUGAUUCAUGAGCUUCACUGUAUUGUCAGAGCAUUUUGAUAGGGUCAUGAUCAAUUCCGCACACAGAUUGCCUAAGAUAAGAUUACUCAUCCUAAAUUUGAGGGAGUUCUAGGCGUUUGAGAUUUUUCUUGUUUGAAUAUGGCCCUUCUUGCCAAACAUGUUUGGCAUUUGUUGGAAAAUCCUUCUUCUUUGCUGGCUAAUAUUCUUUUGCCCAAAAUUGAAUUUUCUCCAUUCUAAACUUAAACUUUCCUACUCUUGGGUAUGGAAUGGAAUUUUGGUUGAAAAGGAUAUUUUGAUGCACGGUUUAGCGAAAGCUAUUGGUUCGGAACAUUAAUUCUACCAACAUAUUGUCUGAGUUUUGGGGAGGAUCGAAAGAUAAGCUUCUUAUUCCACCUAUUUAUUUUGCACUCUUCAGUGAUGACUUUGAUAAACAAACUGUCAAUCUUUUUCUUGAUGAGGAUUCAAAGCAAUGGAGCUUGGCCAAAAUCCAACAGCUGAUUCUUCCAUAACAAUGGCAUUUGAUUUUAGCAACUCCUGUUUUGUUUUUUACCUCAUUCUGAUAAUUUUUAUUGAAAAUUUGGAUCUAAAGUUGUUUUCUCUGUAAAAUCUGCAUGCAGGCGGGCAGUUUCUUUUUCUCUGCGCGGGGAAAAAAAAAUCUGAGCAAGAUGGGAGCU
This 23586-nucleotide long non-coding RNA is filed under the name Panax ginseng (ginseng). RNAcentral describes it as "long non-coding RNA (PGIN_LNC009675)". Lineage: Eukaryota; Viridiplantae; Streptophyta; Magnoliopsida; Apiales; Araliaceae. The record is from RNAcentral.